RNAcentral lists this ribosomal RNA (253 nucleotides) under uncultured bacterium. Its description in RNAcentral is "partial 16S ribosomal RNA". It matches the Rfam family "Bacterial small subunit ribosomal RNA", at positions 524 to 776 of the family's 1533-position model. The record is from RNAcentral.
GACAGAGGUGCCGAGCGUUAGGCGGAAUCACUGGGCUUAAAGCGUGUGUAGGCGGAUCGUUAAGUACCUUGUGAAAUCCCACGGCUUAACCGUGGAACUGCUUGGUAUACUGGCGGUCUUGAGCCACCUAGGGGCAACCGGAACAAAUGGUGGAGCGGUGAAAUGCGUAGAUAUCAAGAGGAACACCUGAGGUGAAGACGGGUUGCUGGGCCGACACUGACGCUGAAGCGCGAAAGCCAGGGGAGCAAACGGG